This 1067-nucleotide long non-coding RNA is filed under the name Equus caballus (horse). Its description in RNAcentral is "lncRNA (ENSECAG00000055889.1)". The record is from RNAcentral. Lineage: Eukaryota; Metazoa; Chordata; Mammalia; Perissodactyla; Equidae.
GUUCAGCCACUGCGACGCGAACACCUUGUUGAGGGUGCCCAGGGCCAGCUCGCGCUCCCGCAGCAGCUCGGGCAGCUUCUGCACCGCGUAGCCGCGCAGCUCGCCCUCGAAGCCCAGGAGCCCGGCGCGGCCCCGCGCGCCCACCUCGCGGCCCUUCAGCCAGCUGCCAUGUUGUGAGUUGCCUUGUGGAGAGACCCACUUUGUAAGGAGCUGAUGUCAGCUUGCCAACAGCCACAUGAGAGGGCUCAGAAGAGGAUUCCCCCUCUCCUGCCACCAGACUCUGUACGUAGAUAUAGGAUUUGUAUGGGUGACAGAAAGACUGAAAUCACUAGAAGCUUUCAGCCAUGAAGAAGUUGUGCACUGUAAACACUCAAAUCAAGAUCUUUCAUCCGUGACAGAAUGGCUUGUUACUUUGCACAAAGGACAAUAAACUGGCUCAUAAGCAAAGUGAGUAAUUUUUUUAAACACUCUACUGCAUGUAUAACAAUCCUUGUAGCAUAUCUGUCAAGCACAUCAUUUGUAAAUACAAAAUGAAUUCAAAAGUAAAUCUUAAAGCCCGACAAUCAGGGAGAAAAACUUUGGUGGAAACCAGAUGGAUCCAAGAAAUAGGUAAUCAGGAAGUCUGACAAAUUACUUUUCACAAAUUACCUUCUUGGUGAUGUACAUCCAAAAUGGAAAAUGUUGCUGAAAGAUAGCUGUAUUUAUUUACUGAGAGGGAGAAGAAAUCUGGGGAAUAGAAUUUUUUUCUGUAUUAUUUUUCCAUCUUACUGAUGAGGCCAUAGUAAAAAUAAAUCUGUAAGUCACAGGCAUACGUUUUAUUUUGUGUAGAUCCCGAUAACUCAAAGUUAAUGAUGUAAACAAAAACAUAUAAGAGAAUGGUCCCAUAACAAAAUUUUGAAUGCAGAAAUAACUUUAGUUUUCCAAUAAAAGGAAGUUAAUGUUCUUUUUUGUUUGAUAAGAUGCUGCAAAAGAAUCUUUAGCCAAGUCAGAAACAACAACAACAAAAACAACAACAAUAGUAAUAAUAGAAGCCAAAAGAAAGGUUUUGAAAUGGAAUCAAAGGUCAG